UUCCGUAGGUGAACCUGCGGAGGGAUCAUUACCGAGUUUACAACUCCCAAACCCCUGUGAACAUACCAAUUGUUGCCUCGGCGGAUCAGCCCGCUCCCGGUAAAACGGGACGGCCCGCCAGAGGACCCCUAAACUCUGUUUCUAUAUGUAACUUCUGAGUAAAACCAUAAAUAAAUCAAAACUUUCAACAACGGAUCUCUUGGUUCUGGCAUCGAUGAAGAACGCAGCAAAAUGCGAUAAGUAAUGUGAAUUGCAGAAUUCAGUGAAUCAUCGAAUCUUUGAACGCACAUUGCGCCCGCCAGUAUUCUGGCGGGCAUGCCUGUUCGAGCGUCAUUUCAACCCUCAAGCCCCCGGGUUUGGUGUUGGGGAUCGGCGAGCCCUUGCGGCAAGCCGGCCCCGAAAUCUAGUGGCGGUCUCGCUGCAGCUUCCAUUGCGUAGUAGUAAAACCCUCGCAACUGGUACGCGGCGCGGCCAAGCCGUUAAACCCCCAACUUCUGAAUGUUGACCUCGGAUCAGGUAGGAAUACCCGCUGAACUUAAGCAUAUCAAUAA
This 551-nucleotide ribosomal RNA is filed under the name Fusarium proliferatum. RNAcentral describes it as "eukaryotic LSU rRNA". The stretch from base 180 to 333 matches the Rfam family "5.8S ribosomal RNA". The record is from RNAcentral. Lineage: Eukaryota; Fungi; Ascomycota; Sordariomycetes; Hypocreales; Nectriaceae.